CACACACACACUCCAUUUUUCUCCUCUUUCCCCCUACGGCGGUUUCUGGCCGCCGCCCCGUCCAGUUAAGGUCGCCGCCCAGUCGUCAGAUCGGAGGUCCACGGGUGAGAAGGGAGCGGAGGAGGAGGGAGGUGUGCCGGAGGGCUUGAGCGCCUACACGACGAGCGGCGGCAACGACCACCACCACCAGGCACUCGACGAGUUGGAUCGUUCCCUCACCAUGGCGUCGGAGAAAGAGGCGGCGCUCGCCGCCGUGCCCAACGAGAACCCCACCAUGUGAAUCUCCUGCACCCCCUUUCCCCGCACUGAUCCGUCGCAAGCUUAGUUGUUCCUCUGUUGACUGCUCGAUCUGCUGGAGCCUGGAGCGCCCUUCAUUGAUAUACGCUGUGGGAUCGUAGAUUUGGGUUGUGAUUUUUUUCAGUACCGCCCCGAUUAAUUGAGUGUGGAUUGCAAGAUUAGUAUUUAUAAAUGGGUAGUGUCUACGGAAUUUGGGGCAGCUGGUAAGUACCCGAGCUUCCUCUACGCCCACCACAUCUCCCAAAGGUCGUGGGAUGGAUUGGCGCAGCAGGCCACGUCCACCGCAACGCACCACACGCACGGUCUCCGCAGUCGACACCACCGCCUACCCAACGCUCCGUCCAAUUCUGGCCGGCGAUGAGGUUGACCUACCGGCAGUUGUUUGAGGCAGGUGGAGGUGCUUUCUGGCGUAGAUGGCGGAAGCGACGAGGUGGCCAGCGCCAGAUCUUCGUGGAAUGGGCGCGGUGGCGUUAGCGGCUUUGAGGUGCGGCGAUAGACGCCAUCUGGGUGGUAGAGGUGAUCCAGCGGUGGUGCUCGGGAGUUGGAGGAGCUGGAAAUUGGCGGUACGACGAAUUUCGGCGUGACGAGGCGCUGCACAAGGCGUUUGGUUGUGUUCCACUCGCCCUCAACUCCUGAUCCAUCCUUACAGAUAUCUGCAUGGUCGUUGAUGUAACUGAUGAUGCCAGAGGUGCUCUACAUGAGAGAGGAGAGUGAUGAGAUGAACCCCUGCUACCGCCGCCUCUCUGCAUUGUUGUAGCGUGCUUCCCCGACGGACAAGAGGGACAUCCUCGCCGAGAUCAGCUUGCUUUGAUGAUGGGUUGCCGAUAUUCACCAUUAGAAAGGAGAAUCUGGUGCUGGUUGUGACUUGUGAGGCUUCUUAACAGCAACAUGUACAACCACCAAUCUGAUGGACUAAAGGUUCCGGUUCAUGCCAAGCUACGCCACGGGUAUCGCGAGAUUCAGUAGAGACAUAACAUUCUCUUCUAUCCCCAUAAGUGAGAUCACAACUUAUUGUUGCUACCUUAUAUUAAUUGAAUUAGUGUUUGAAGCAUAAGCAUACAUAGCACAAUUUCUACAUUACAGUGGACUUUUGCGAUUGGACUAUAAGAGCAAGAAGGAUAACCUGCCUCUUGCUCGCCUGAUAGCAAAUUUGAUUAUGGAUAUGUAAUCUUAGGGAUCUUUCUUCACUUCAAUUUAGAUUUUUCUUGAGAUCUAAACCUACAAUGUUGAUGAUCCGGUAAGGUGUAUCUGUGUGCAUAAUUGCAGUGGAUGGGAUGGAAGGCAAUAAAUACUUUAUAUAAAAAAGGUGAAAUAUGGGAGGAAAAUACUCAAUAAAGAAAUUUUGGUGGCCAAAAUCAUCUUCUACAUGAUGUUUUCAUUAGUUUUCUGUUAUAUUAUCACAUAAUAGGAAAGUGUUUUGCUCUUAGAUGCAACAAUUACUAUUUUUACAUUUUGGUGAAACCUAAACUCAUACUUUCUUAGUGUUAGCCUUUUGCAUAUAUGGUGCACUGAAACUUAUAUGGUUAUGUUUUGUCUGUGCGACUCUGCAAAUUUAUAGGCGCAAAUUUACAGGGUUGUUGGAAUGUGUCAUUGCCUCAUUGGCAUACCAAUUAUUCAUUCCACGUAGGCCUUGCUUUAUCCUUCAUUUUGUCUCUUUUGUUGCCUGAAGAUAUAGACACCACCACAUUUUAUCUUUGUUCGCUUAUUGUCUCUUCUUGGACCCUUGAGCAUGAACGCUUCUUCACAUCAGAUGCUUGCUGAUUUAUUUUUUGUGUGAUUAAAAGCAUUGUUGUGUGAGCGGAACCUGCAUUAUUGCCUUGGUAUGUGUGCUAGGUCUGUUGUUCACAUAUUUUACCACAGCCAUAAAAUGUGCUUGAUGGACCUCAACUGUGACCUUUACCUACAUAAUUUCUCAUUACACAUUAUUACUACCUCUGUUCCUAAAUAUAAGAUGUCUUGGGAUUUCAAAUUGAGCUCCCAAAACAUCUUAUAUUUAGGAAUGAAUAGAAUAAUUCUUUACUUAUGUUUCUUUGUGGUUUGUAGCGGUUGUAUUUCACCGUCGACUAUGGUAGAGUUUCAGGUAUGGGUUUAUAGACAGCUGUUUCUUGAUCCUCCGCAUACGCUAUAUGCAACCCAUAUCGCAAGAAAAUAUAAGUGGAGCAAAAAUAAAGAACAGCUGAAAGCUCACAAAACAGCCCAAUGCAAAUUUUAUCCCCCAGCUGAUGGAGGCAGCUUGGGGUAAAAUAAAGGCCUUUCCACCGAUUCAAAUGGACGGUGAUAUUUAGAAAUGAUGACUAUGUCCUGGGCCAAUUUCUAUAUGAAACUGGGUAGCAGUCAACGAAUGGAGGCAGCUUGGUCUAACAAAGAACUGUUUACCUGUCUAAAUGGAAGUCGAAAGACUUUUUUGAAUCUGCAUCCCUCUGUGGAUGAUGACUUUCGUGGGGUUGUCUUAUAAAUUGGGCCGUCGUCGUAUCUAUUCCACCCACAGUAAAGAAUAAUAGAAUUCUGCCCCAAUUUAGAAAUGAAGAGUUUCUCAACACUCACCACUACUGUAACCAUCUGCAACAUGUGUAUUCUCCCAGUGGAACCCUGCCUCAGGUCAUCGUGGACGGCAAUUCCUUCGCUCCUGCAACCCCUCAGUGUGGCAAUGAGAGCAACCGUGAGAGAAGCGCUGGCCUGAGUGACCUCUCACGACCUAGGAGGUCGUCCCCGGCUAAGCUGCCGCUGGCUACACAUAUAUAUAUGGCUUGGAGCCCCUCCAGUGCCAACGCUGACUCCAGUGGCUCCCAAAUUCUUCAGUUGUGGCUUCUGUUCUGGCCCGUGAAUCUUCUGCUUGGGAGAUGCGGUAGAAAAGGAACAAGAGAAGAUUCAUCGUGCUAGGUGCUCCCGGUCCCCGACAUAUGUCAGCUACAAGUUAUUUUGGACUUCAGUUUUCUGAUAUUUAGACAUGGAGCCUAAUAGUUGGUGUAGAAGACAUAUAUACUGGUCCUUGGCAAAAUUCUGCAGAACGUUUUUUUUGUCAAAGUAACACAAUCAGCAUAAGUGUUGCGGAAAUCAACAGUUAUAGAGUAGUAGAGUAGUUUAUUAUGUUUCCUUUUUUAGAUAUAUGUGUUUUGGUGUCAUCCUCCAGAAUUCUGCAAGUGUCAUCAAUUAUAUUUUGCCAAUUGUUGCAUCAUCAGCAUUUUUGUAUUUUUUUUGUGUUUAUGAAGGCAUAUUUAGUACACAUGUUGUUUAGUCCUUUUGAUGCCAAUAAAUAUAGUUUUUUUUUACUUUAUAAUACUUGAGCAUUGCAUUGACCAUGUUGUGCCAGAACGGCAUGUAGCCGGCGAGGCGAAGCUCGCAUGUUCAUCUAGUACAGUAUAGCAUUGCAGCAAUGGAGGCACAAGGAUAUUGCCACAAGCAAGAACACAUUUUUUUACCAUCCACAACUGUUGGAAGAUUAAUCAAGAACAUAGUGAAAAUUGGACAUUGAUGGACCAAGAGGCUCCUCCUCUACGAAGGUGCUCCCAUUACUUUGGACGACGAUGAUAGUGAUGAUCCACUGAGAGGAGGGAGAAACAAAUGGAGGCCGGAUGGAUGAAGACGUCUAAAUCUAGAAGUGAAGAGAAGCUCCAAGAUCGAGAAGCUAAUGAGCGCCAAGCAAAAGAUAGCACAAGAGCAAUUUCAAACUAGAAAUGAGUUGGCCGAGAAGAAACAAGUCAAUAAAAUAAGGAAGUGUGAAUCAAUUAGAGAAGAGGAGAAGCAGAGUUUGAAGAUUGAAAGAUUCGACUUGAGAAAGAAAAGGGAUGAGAACAGGGUGAUGAUGAUGGAUCCAUUGAAUAUGGAUCCACUCACAAAAGAAUGGUGGAAGAUUUUGGGGGCCGAGAUAUUGGAAGGAAAAAAGGAAAUAAGAGAGAUUGUUGUUGCUCGUGUUGCUUUUGUUGUUCAUGGUGGUGAUGGUGGUGCCGCUUUUAUUUGUGGUGGUGGUGGUGCGACGGCGUUGGCGGUGCUUCUCUGGUAAGUAGUGCUGGUGAUGAUGGUGUUCGUGUUUGUGUUGAUGGCGGCUGCAAUGGCCCUUCUACUUCUUGUUGACCCACCAUGGUUUUCUGUCCAAACUUCCGUGCAUCGUAUGCCACCCUGUAUGGACUAUCAUUCGUUCAAAACUUUGCUGAUAUUUCGAACUAUUUAUGUUUU
This is a long non-coding RNA of Lolium perenne, 4470 nucleotides long. RefSeq lists it as uncharacterized. Lineage: Eukaryota; Viridiplantae; Streptophyta; Magnoliopsida; Poales; Poaceae. The record is from RefSeq and is a predicted model, not a curated record.